Molecule: transfer RNA, 71 nt
Organism: Daphnia magna
Lineage: Eukaryota; Metazoa; Arthropoda; Branchiopoda; Diplostraca; Daphniidae
Rfam family: tRNA
About the family: Transfer RNA (tRNA) molecules are approximately 80 nucleotides in length.
Source: Rfam
GACUCAUGGCUCAACGGUAGAGCAUCGGAAUGGUACGAAGAAGGUUUAGGGUUCGAUUCCCUAAAGAGUCA